GCCGAGGUGGCGGAAUUGGUAGACGCGCCGGACUCAAAAUCCGGUGGUGGCAACACCGUGAGGGUUCGAGUCCCUCCCUCGGUACCA
Molecule: transfer RNA, 87 nt
Filed under: Coxiella burnetii
Lineage: Bacteria; Pseudomonadati; Pseudomonadota; Gammaproteobacteria; Legionellales; Coxiellaceae
Also listed under: 11 other names
Description: tRNA-Leu
Rfam family: tRNA
About the family: Transfer RNA (tRNA) molecules are approximately 80 nucleotides in length. Their secondary structure includes four short double-helical elements and three loops (D, anti-codon, and T loops).
Source: RNAcentral